RNAcentral lists this non-coding RNA (500 nucleotides) under Neurospora tetrasperma FGSC 2509. RNAcentral's name for it is "Eukaryotic large subunit ribosomal RNA". It matches the Rfam family "Eukaryotic large subunit ribosomal RNA", at positions 228 to 758 of the family's 3401-position model. The record is from Rfam by way of RNAcentral. Lineage: Eukaryota; Fungi; Ascomycota; Sordariomycetes; Sordariales; Sordariaceae.
UCUAGGCUUAGCUGCUCCACGAGGUGCUUCCACGAGUCGGGUUGUUUGGGAAUGCAGCCCAAAAUGGAGGUACAUCCCUUCUAAGGCUAAAUACUGGCGAGAGACCGAUAGCGAACAAGUACCGUGAGGGAAAGAUGAAAAGAACUUUGAAAAGAGAGUUAAAAAGUGCUUGAAAUUGUUGAGAGGGAAGCGUUUGGAGGUUAUAGGUGCGCCUAGGCUUAUACGGUUCUAACGAGCCGUUGUAUGUGCUAGGUGCUGGUCAACAUGGGUUAGCUUGGCGGGAUAACAGCGGGGGUUGAUACCCCGUCUAUGCCGCCGGGUUGAUCAAGGUGUAAAUGGCGCUCUGUCCUUCGGGAACUGCGUCAUCAAGAUGUUGGCAGAAGGCCUUCAAACGACCCGUCUUGAAACACGGACCAAGGAGUCUAACAUGUAUGCGAGUUGGUGGGUGGAAAACCCAUGAGCGCAAGUAACCUGACUGGUGGGAUGGCCUGUGCCUGCAC